GACGAACGCUGGCGGCGUGCUUAACACAUGCAAGUCGAACGGAAAGGCCCUGCUUUUGUGGGGUGCUCGAGUGGCGAACGGGUGAGUAACACGUGAGUAACCUGCCCUGGACUGUGGGAUAACUUCAGGAAACGGGGGCUAAUACCGGAUAGGAGCUCCUGCUGCAUGGCGGUGGUUGGAAAGUUUCGGUGGUAGGGGAUGGAGUUGCGGCUUAUCAGCUUGUUGGUGGGGUAGUGGCUUAGCAAGGCCUUGACGGUUAGCCGGCCUGAGAGGGUGACCGGCCCCAUUGGGACUGGGGUAGCGCCCAGAGUGCUACGUGGGGAAGGGGUGGGAGUUAGUCCACGAUACGCGGAGGCCUUGAGCAAGGUCGCCGCGUGCGGGAGGACUGCUUUCAGGUAAUAACCAGCUUGAGCCUGUAACGAAGCGUGAGUGACGGUAAUGGAUAAGGAAGCACCGGCUAACUACGUG
Molecule: ribosomal RNA, 468 nt
Filed under: uncultured bacterium
Lineage: Bacteria
Description: partial 16S ribosomal RNA
Rfam family: Bacterial small subunit ribosomal RNA
Source: RNAcentral